UGCGUAGGGUCCGAGCGUUGUCCGGAAUUAUUGGGCGUAAAGGGCUCGUAGGCGGUUCGUCACGUCGGGAGUGAAAACUCGGGGCUUAACCCCGAGCCUGCUUCCGAUACGGGCAGACUAGAGGUAGGCAGGGGAGAGCGGAACUCCUGGUGUAGCGGUGGAAUGCGCAGAUAUCAGGAAGAACACCGGUGGCGAAGGCGGCUCUCUGGGCCUUACCUUACGCUUAGGAGCGAAAGCGUGGGUAGCGAACAGG
This 253-nucleotide ribosomal RNA is filed under the name uncultured bacterium. Its description in RNAcentral is "partial 16S ribosomal RNA". It matches the Rfam family "Bacterial small subunit ribosomal RNA", at positions 524 to 776 of the family's 1533-position model. The record is from RNAcentral.